Molecule: ribosomal RNA, 505 nt
Filed under: uncultured bacterium
Lineage: Bacteria
Description: partial 16S ribosomal RNA
Rfam family: Bacterial small subunit ribosomal RNA
Source: RNAcentral
GACGAACGCUGGCGGCGUGCCUAAUACAUGCAAGUAGAACGCACAGUUUAUACCGUAGCUUGCUACACCAUACACUGUGAGUUGCGAACGGGUGAGUAACGCGUAGGUAACCUGCCUGGUAGCGGGGGAUAACUAUUGGAAACGAUAGCUAAUACCGCAUAAUAUUGAUUAUUGCAUGAUAAUUGAUUGAAAGAUGCUAUUGCAUCACUACCAGAUGGACCUGCGUUGUAUUAGCUAGUAGGUGAGGUAACGGCUCACCUAGGCGACGAUACAUAGCCGACCUGAGAGGGUGAUCGGCCACACUGGGACUGAGACACGGCCCAGACUCCUACGGGAGGCAGCAGUAGGGAAUCUUCGGCAAUGGACGAAAGUCUGACCGAGCAACGCCGCGUGAGUGAAGAAGGUUGUCGGAUCGUAAAGCUCUGUUGUAAGAGAAGAACGGGUGUGAGAGUGGAAAGUUCACAAUGUGACGGUAUCUUACCAGAAAGGGACGGCUAACUACGUG